AGUAGUUUGAUCAGUGGCUCAGGACGAACGCUGGCGGCGUGCCUAACACAUGCAAGUCGAACGAAGCACUGGGGAGCGGAGAUUCGUCAAAGCACCCCUUUGACUUAGUGGCGGACGGGUGAGUAAUGCGUGAGCAACCUGCCCUUCAGAGGGGGACAACAGCUGGAAACGGCUGCUAAUACCGCAUGACGUAUUUGGGAGGCAUCUCCCGGAUACCAAAGAUUUAUCGCUGAGGGAUGGGCUCACGUCUGAUUAGCUGGUUGGUGGGGUAACGGCCUACCAAGGCGACGAUCAGUAGCCGGACUGAGAGGUUGAACGGCCACAUUGGGACUGAGAUACGGCCCAGACUCC
Molecule: ribosomal RNA, 351 nt
Filed under: uncultured Oscillospiraceae bacterium
Lineage: Bacteria; Bacillati; Bacillota; Clostridia; Eubacteriales; Oscillospiraceae
Description: bacterial SSU rRNA
Rfam family: Bacterial small subunit ribosomal RNA
Source: RNAcentral